Molecule: ribosomal RNA, 253 nt
Filed under: uncultured bacterium
Lineage: Bacteria
Description: partial 16S ribosomal RNA
Rfam family: Bacterial small subunit ribosomal RNA
Source: RNAcentral
UACGUAGGGGGCAAGCGUUGUCCGGAUUUAUUGGGCGUAAAGCGCACGUAGGCGGCUCUGUAAGUCGGAUGUGAAAUCCCUCGGCUCAACCAAGGAAGUGCAUUCGAAACUGCGGAGCUUGAGUAGUUAAGAGGAUCGCGGAAUUCCCGGUGUAGAGGUGAAAUUCGUAGAUAUCGGGAGGAACACCAGUGGCGAAGGCGGCGAUCUGGGAACAUACUGACGCUGAGGUGCGAAAGCGUGGGGAGCAAACAGG